RNAcentral lists this ribosomal RNA (765 nucleotides) under uncultured Streptococcus sp. Its description in RNAcentral is "bacterial SSU rRNA". It matches the Rfam family "Bacterial small subunit ribosomal RNA", at positions 28 to 776 of the family's 1533-position model. The record is from RNAcentral. Lineage: Bacteria; Bacillati; Bacillota; Bacilli; Lactobacillales; Streptococcaceae.
GACGAACGCUGGCGGCGUGCCUAAUACAUGCAAGUAGAACGCUGAAGAGAGGAGCUUGCUCUUCUUGGAUGAGUUGCGAACGGGUGAGUAACGCGUAGGUAACCUGCCUGGUAGCGGGGGAUAACUAUUGGAAACGAUAGCUAAUACCGCAUAAGAGUAGAUGUUGCAUGACAUUUGCUUAAAAGGUGCAAUUGCAUCACUACCAGAUGGACCUGCGUUGUAUUAGCUAGUUGGUGAGGUAACGGCCCACCAAGGCGACGAUACAUAGCCGACCUGAGAGGGUGAUCGGCCACACUGGGACUGAGACACGGCCCAGACUCCUACGGGAGGCAGCAGUAGGGAAUCUUCGGCAAUGGACGGAAGUCUGACCGAGCAACGCCGCGUGAGUGAAGAAGGUUUUCGGAUCGUAAAGCUCUGUUGUAAGAGAAGAACGAGUGUGAGAGUGGAAAGUUCACACUGUGACGGUAUCUUACCAGAAAGGGACGGCUAACUACGUGCCAGCAGCCGCGGUAAUACGUAGGUCCCGAGCGUUGUCCGGAUUUAUUGGGCGUAAAGCGAGCGCAGGCGGUUAGAUAAGUCUGAAGUUAAAGGCUGUGGCUUAACCAUAGUACGCUUUGGAAACUGUUUAACUUGAGUGCAAGAGGGGAGAGUGGAAUUCCAUGUGUAGCGGUGAAAUGCGUAGAUAUAUGGAGGAACACCGGUGGCGAAAGCGGCUCUCUGGCUUGUAACUGACGCUGAGGCUCGAAAGCGUGGGGAGCAAACAGG